CUCAGUAACACGUGGAUAAUUUGCCCUUAGGUGGAGGAUAACCUCGGGAAACUGAGAACAAUACUCCAUAGAUCUAGGAUGCUGGAAUGCAUUUAGAUUAAAAGCUCCGGCGCCUAAGGAUAAGUCUGCGGACUAUCAGGUUGUAGUCAGGGUAAAGGCCUGACUAGCCUACAACGGAUACGGGUUGUGAGAGCAAUAACCCGGAGACGAUAUCUGAGACACGAUAUCGGGCCCUACGGGGCGCAGCAGGCGCGAAACCUUCGCACUGUGCGAAAGCGCGAUGAGGGGAUCCCAAGUGCUUGCUCGUAAGAGUAAGCUGUUUUUAUGUCUAAAAAGCAUAGAGAGUAAGGGCUGGGUAAGACGGGUGCCAGCCGCCGCGGUAAUACCUGCAGCUCAAGUGGUGAUCAUUAUUAUUGGGCCUAAAACGUCCGUAGCCGGUUUGGUAAAUGCCUGGGUAAAUCGUGUAGCUUAACUAUACGAAUUCCGGGUAGACUGCCAAACUUGAGACCGGGAGAGGCUAGAGGUACUCCUGGGGUAGAGGUGAAAUUCUGUAAUCCUAGGGGGACCACCAGUGGCGAAGGCGUCUAGCUAGAACGGGUCUGACGGUCAGGGACGAAGCCCUGGGGCGCGAACCGGAUUAGAUACCCGGGUAGUCCAGGGUGUAAACGCUGCUUGCUUGAUGUUAGUUGGGCUCCGAGCCCGAUUAGUGUCGGAGAGAAGUUGUUAAGCAAGCUGCCUGGGAAGUACGGUCGCAAGACUGAAACUAAAG
This 769-nucleotide ribosomal RNA is filed under the name uncultured archaeon. Its description in RNAcentral is "bacterial SSU rRNA". It matches the Rfam family "Archaeal small subunit ribosomal RNA", at positions 89 to 861 of the family's 1478-position model. The record is from RNAcentral.